RNAcentral lists this ribosomal RNA (292 nucleotides) under uncultured bacterium. RNAcentral describes it as "partial 16S ribosomal RNA". It matches the Rfam family "Bacterial small subunit ribosomal RNA", at positions 505 to 796 of the family's 1533-position model. The record is from RNAcentral.
GUGUCAGCAGCCGCGGUAAUACGUAGGGGGCGAGCGUUGUCCGAAUUCACUGGGCGUAAAGCGCGCGUAGGCGGACUAUUAAGUUGAUGGUGAAAUCCCGGGGCUCAACCUCGGAACUGCCUUCAAAACUGAUAGUCUUGAGGUUUGGAGAGGGAACUGGAAUUCCAGGUGUAGCGGUGAAAUGCGUAGAUAUCUGGAGGAACACCCAUGGCGAAGGCAGGUUCCUGGCCAUAUCCUGACGCUGAGGUGCGAAAGCUAGGGUAGCGAACGGGAUUAGAAACCCUUGUAGUCC